CUAAAGGGAGAGCAGUUUAUUUCUAGGCUCACUCUAGAUUUUCCUGUAUUAGAAGAACAGCAAACAGUUGACAAAUAUUUUGUUUGGGGGCUGAGAUGGCCAGCGAACUUGCAGGCAGUGAGCCCAGAUGACCACACAAUCCUGCCACGGGGUUCCCACUUCCUCCUGGAGGCCGCCCUAGAACGGGGCCUGCAGCAAUGGGCAGCCCCUCCAGUUUAGCCACGUCCCCUGGGAGGCACAACCCAGGACCGAGGUUUGCUCCGGAGGAUCGGCUGGCGCGUCUCGCGGUAGCACAGCCCGGGGCCCCUGCACCACCUGCAGCCCGGGCCUCCCCACGAUCGCGAGUCCCACCUGGGCACAGUCACUUCGGGACCCACGCAGGCUCUCUUCCUCCUAGGCACCCACACUCACCAGACCAGUCCAGAAGAGGAAGAACAGGAACAGCCAGUGCCGCUGACCUGCAGCCGCGGGCAGGUAGCGCUCGACCCCGGGCCUCAACAAGGCUGAAGGCAUUGCUCUCCGCGCAGCCAUGAGGGAAACUGAGGCACGGGGCAGCCGUGAUGGGACACGCCCGAUGAGACACAGCCAGAAUUUCCUAAAAAUCCAUUUAUUGGAGCAAUGGACCGACCAGCUACCCAACUAGUUCUCAUCAGGAUAACAGUUCCUACUCUGACCCACGAAUCAUCAACUCACUUAUCACAUGACUGUGGCCUUCAAGACUCACUUGGAACCCUCCCCUUGCCUGUCCAGCAAUCCUCAACUAUUGCAUAACCAAGUUGCCCAAGCUAAUUAGCCUGUCUACAUUAAAGGAUGCAGGGUCUAUGGUAGACCCUGAGAAAUCUAUAAAUAUCUCACCUUGAAACACAUCAAACAUGCUUCUAUUAAUAAAUUUAUGAUAGUACAAAUAAAUAAUAAAUGAUAAAGCCUCAUUGAUUGCCUUUAGAAGUGUCUAGGGGUCAGACUCAUUAUUUUUGAAAACUGGUUAAGGAAAGGAAAAGAAGCACAUAUCCCGCCUCUCCUAUAUGAACUAUACUUUAGGGUAAUCACAUAACUAAUAAAGAACAUUUCUCUUCAUAGAAAUAUUCUGGCUUAUAUAAGUGCAGAAGGAAUUAUAGAAUUUAGGAUAUCAUAGUCUGCCAAACAUGACAACGAAGGGACAAUCAGACAUCAGUCUUCCAUCCGUGGAGUGCACAUUGCCACUUGUAAGGUACUCAACCCGCAAAGUCUGCACGAAUCUACCAAUUUAUAAGAAAUAGAGGAAACAGGGUAGCCCCGGUGGCUCAGCAGUUUAGCGCCGCCUACAGCUCAGGGCAUGAUCCUGGAGACCCAGGAUCGAGUCCCACAUCAGGCUCCCUUCAAGGAACCUGCUUCUCCCUCUGCCUGCGUCUCUGCCUCUCUCUCUGUCUCCUCUCUGUGUAUUCUCAUGAAUAAAUAAAUAAAAUCUUAAAAAAAAAAGAAAUACAGGAAACAGAGGAACAAGUCAAAUGAUACCACAUGGAUUCCGUCAGCAAAACCAAGAUUGGGAGAGUCCCAGACACAUGACCUAGUUUUAACAUCAUCCACAACAGUAGCAGCAGCAAAGGUUAUAUGGGAAAAAAAGACAGAGGAGAAACCUAUAAAUUAAAAGACACUUGGGAGGUAUUUUAACACAUAACAGAAGACAUUGGUUAGCUCCAGAUUAAACCAACUGGAAAAAAUAAAAGGAAAGACCUUUUAGAGGACUGAUUGGAUAUUUGAUAAUUUGAAGUAGUUUAUAUUAAGGAAUUUGAGGGUCUGAUAUCAUUAGUGUCAAAUUUAAGGAGAGUCAUUAUCAUUUAGAUUUGCAUACUAAAACUUCUACAAAAUAGCCAGCUGUCUGGGAUUGCUUCACAAAAUCCAGGGCAAUCAUUUUCUUACACCAUACACAAAAAUAGACUCAAAAUGGAUGAAAGACCUAAUGUGAGACUGGAGUCCAUCAGAAUCCUAGAGAAGACCAUAGGCAUCA
This is a long non-coding RNA of Canis lupus familiaris (dog), 1984 nucleotides long. RefSeq lists it as uncharacterized. The transcript is spliced from 3 exons. The record is from RefSeq and is a predicted model, not a curated record. Lineage: Eukaryota; Metazoa; Chordata; Mammalia; Carnivora; Canidae.